GACGAACGCUGGCGGCGUGCCUAAUACAUGCAAGUCGAGCGAUGAAGCUUGGUGCUUGCACCCAUUUGAAAAGCAGCGAACGGGUGAUUAACGCGUGGGGAACCUGCCUUUGAGCAGGGGAAAACAUUUGGACACGAAUGCUAAUACCGCAUAACAACUUUAAGCAUAUGUUUUAAGUGUGAAAGAGGCAGUUGCAUCACCCACAGAUGAUACCGCGUUGGAUUAGCUUGUUGGUGAGGUAAAGGCUCACCAAGGCGAGGAUACAUAGCCGACCUGCGACGGGGGGCCGCCGACUUGGGACGGGGACACGGCCCAAACGCCCACGGGAGGCAGCAGGAGGGAAUCUUCGGGCAGGGGCGGAAGUCGUGCCGAGCAACGCCGCGGGCGUGAAGAAGGGUGUCGGAUCGGAAAACUCGGUUUGUAGAGAAGAACGGUGUUGAGAGUGGAAAGCUCAUCAAGUGACGGUAACUACCCAGAAAGGGACGGCUAACUACGUG
RNAcentral lists this ribosomal RNA (497 nucleotides) under uncultured bacterium. RNAcentral describes it as "partial 16S ribosomal RNA". It matches the Rfam family "Bacterial small subunit ribosomal RNA", at positions 28 to 507 of the family's 1533-position model. The record is from RNAcentral.